RNAcentral lists this non-coding RNA (24 nucleotides) under Arabidopsis thaliana (thale cress). The record is from RNAcentral. Lineage: Eukaryota; Viridiplantae; Streptophyta; Magnoliopsida; Brassicales; Brassicaceae.
AUGAUCAGGUCUGCUUCUUCCAGA